AAGGUUUUAAGUUAAUAAAACUAAAAGCCUUCAAAGCUUUUAAUAAAAGUAGAAAUCUUUUAAACCUUG
Molecule: transfer RNA, 69 nt
Filed under: Birgus latro
Lineage: Eukaryota; Metazoa; Arthropoda; Malacostraca; Decapoda; Coenobitidae
Description: tRNA-Trp
Rfam family: tRNA
About the family: Transfer RNA (tRNA) molecules are approximately 80 nucleotides in length. Their secondary structure includes four short double-helical elements and three loops (D, anti-codon, and T loops). Further hydrogen bonds mediate the characteristic L-shaped molecular structure. tRNAs have two regions of fundamental functional importance: the anti-codon, which is responsible for specific mRNA codon recognition, and the 3' end, to which the tRNAs corresponding amino acid is attached (by aminoacyl-tRNA synthetases). tRNAs cope with the degeneracy of the genetic code in two manners: having more than one tRNA (with a specific anti-codon) for a particular amino acid; and 'wobble' base-pairing, i.e. permitting non-standard base-pairing at the 3rd anti-codon position.
Source: RNAcentral